GGCCUCGUGGCCCAAUGGCAAGGCUUUUAACUACGAGGAUGAUCCGUCCAAAUAGAUCUUUAGACAAGUAAUCAGGAGAUUCUAGGUUCGACCCCUAGCGAGGUCA
Xylaria acuta is the source of this 106-nucleotide non-coding RNA. The record is from the annotation of a GenBank genome assembly. NCBI's taxonomy places the organism in Eukaryota, Fungi, Ascomycota, Sordariomycetes, Xylariales, Xylariaceae.